UGGGGUGUAGCUUAAUGGUAAAGUAUUUGCCUAACAUGUUUCAGGCCCUGGGUUCAAUCCCCAGCAUGGCAU
This 72-nucleotide transfer RNA is filed under the name Heterocephalus glaber (naked mole-rat). It matches the Rfam family "tRNA". From Rfam's summary of the family: Transfer RNA (tRNA) molecules are approximately 80 nucleotides in length. Their secondary structure includes four short double-helical elements and three loops (D, anti-codon, and T loops). Further hydrogen bonds mediate the characteristic L-shaped molecular structure. tRNAs have two regions of fundamental functional importance: the anti-codon, which is responsible for specific mRNA codon recognition, and the 3' end, to which the tRNAs corresponding amino acid is attached (by aminoacyl-tRNA synthetases). tRNAs cope with the degeneracy of the genetic code in two manners: having more than one tRNA (with a specific anti-codon) for a particular amino acid; and 'wobble' base-pairing, i.e. permitting non-standard base-pairing at the 3rd anti-codon position. Lineage: Eukaryota; Metazoa; Chordata; Mammalia; Rodentia; Bathyergidae. The record is from Rfam by way of RNAcentral.